GACCCCCUGGUGCACACCACUGGCUUUGUUCUUAUACUGACUAUAGAAAAAGGAAGCAAAGAAAAUCUAUUCCAUAGAUACCUCAACCCUGUGCCUGGUCUGUAUUGUAAAUGGGGAAAGAGAA
This 124-nucleotide small nucleolar RNA is filed under the name Castor canadensis (American beaver). RNAcentral describes it as "Small nucleolar RNA SNORA51 (ENSCCNG00000018284.1)". It matches the Rfam family "Small nucleolar RNA SNORA51". Rfam says of the family: ACA51 is a member of the H/ACA class of snoRNA that guide the sites of modification of uridines to pseudouridines. The record is from Rfam by way of RNAcentral. Lineage: Eukaryota; Metazoa; Chordata; Mammalia; Rodentia; Castoridae.